RNAcentral lists this ribosomal RNA (253 nucleotides) under uncultured bacterium. Its description in RNAcentral is "partial 16S ribosomal RNA". It matches the Rfam family "Bacterial small subunit ribosomal RNA", at positions 524 to 776 of the family's 1533-position model. The record is from RNAcentral.
UACGGAGGGUGCAAGCGUUGUCCGGAUUUAUUGGGUUUAAAGGGUGCGUAGGCGGCUCUUUAAGUCAGUGGUGAAAUCCUACAGCUUAACUGUAGAACAGCCAUUGAUACUGAAGAGCUUGAGUACAGACGAGGUAGGCGGAAUUUAUGGUGUAGCGGUGAAAUGCAUAGAUAUCUGGAGGAAUACCGGUGGCGAAGGCGGCAUCCUGGACCAACACUGACACUGAGGAGCGAAAGCCAGGGGAGCAAACGGG